GGGGGCGUCACGGUUUCGACGGGGAUAGUUGAAGCUGUAGAAGCGUGCCGAGGUUCCUACAGGCCUCGUAAAAUAGGUAGGAUAAACAUAAUCGCAGACAACUACGAUUACGCCUUAGCCGCAUAAGACGGCUAACGUUCUCCCGGUUCCGCCUGUCGGAUCGGAUGAGGGCGUCAAACAGGCAGGAUUGCCGCUUUACCCAAGCCCGGGGGUAAAGAGGUGAAAUCUUACGGGCUGGCCUUUCUUUCAUCCUGACUCUGGGAGGUUGGAAAGGUGAGAUUAAAUCAGAGGAUACGCACGUAGAAACUGCAGUGGAAUAUUUUCGGACGCGGGUUCGACUCCCGCCGCCUCCACCA
Molecule: transfer-messenger RNA, 356 nt
Filed under: Syntrophaceae bacterium
Lineage: Bacteria; Pseudomonadati; Thermodesulfobacteriota; Syntrophia; Syntrophales; Syntrophaceae
Rfam family: transfer-messenger RNA
About the family: Bacterial tmRNA, also known as 10Sa RNA or SsrA, is named for its dual tRNA and mRNA-like properties. Its role is to liberate the mRNA from a stalled ribosome.
Source: RNAcentral